This is a long non-coding RNA of Gallus gallus (chicken), 535 nucleotides long. The record is from Ensembl. NCBI's taxonomy places the organism in Eukaryota, Metazoa, Chordata, Aves, Galliformes, Phasianidae.
CUGAGUUGGAAAUUUCCUCUCAAGUAGUGUUUGAUGAACUGAACAAAGAGCAUUAUGCCUAACCAAAGGCAAUAACUUCAUUUCAUUGGACAUUGGACUUAAAAGGCAACAGAGAUGUGACAUCUGAAAUCAGUGAUGAAUGAGCUACUGAUGAACACAUCCAGGACCUCUGGAAGCCAUUCUCAUCCAGCCCAGUAAUACUGCCAUUAUUUUGUUUCAGAGAUCAGUAAAUGUAAUCAGUGUGAUAAAGGAUUUUCAAUGUUAAAACACCUAAUUUCAAUCUUAUUGAGAAAUGAUAUGUCAUUUUAGGCAUAUCCAGAAGUGCUAUAAAGAAAGCAGGUCAUAAAAAAGAAAGGAAAAAAAUUGCAUUAAUCCAGAAAAGCAAACAGAAAAAUCUUAAUCUGAUCAAGUACCUCACCAUCUGUCAAAGUUCCUAGAUGAGCUUAGGAACUGAGCAUUUAGCAUGAGUUGAGUCUUCAGUUGUUACCCUUGCCCCAGGACUGUUAACCUACACACCUUUGCAUUUAGAAUAGAA